This 793-nucleotide long non-coding RNA is filed under the name Homo sapiens (human). Its description in RNAcentral is "HSALNT0303896". The record is from RNAcentral. Lineage: Eukaryota; Metazoa; Chordata; Mammalia; Primates; Hominidae.
UGAAUAGGUACAAAUUGUGCCGAAUACUGUGAAAGAAGUAUAUGACUACUGAUUGAGAUGAACAUUCUGAAAGAAACUCCAUGGGAACAUGAAUGGAAUUUUAAAAGAAGACUUAAUAUCGAUUUGAGAGUCAAGGACUGACUCUGAGAAAAGGAAUUUAAGACUUAGGCAAUGGCAGCAUUUAAGUAGACAGAGACAAGGUAUAGUGUCUUAACCAUAAGUCAUAAUCUCAUUUUUAAAAAAUACACUGGCCACUAUGUAGAAGAUAAAUUGAUGUGGUUGGGUGUAUUCAGAGGGAGAAGGGACGGAGGCAGAAAUGUUAAUGAGAUACGCAAUUAAGAAGAUGCUGUAAUAUUUGAAGCAAGGGAUUAUGAAGGCUUGAAUUUAGGUGUGGCAACAGAGAAACAGAAUGGAGAAAAAAAUACUGUCAGUUUCUUAACCUGGGACCUAUAACAAGGCUGCUCACAGAAAAGGAACUAUCUCCAGUUUCACUGGGUGCCCUGGAUUCAUAGAUGGACAAAAUGUGCAUGAAGCACCAUACCAGAGAGAUAUGGAACUCUAUUUUCAGAAUUUUUCAGAAUGUCCACUGGGCAGCCAGCUGAUUGAACUCAGAAAUGGGACAUGUUCUCUCCCUAUGCGGUGAAUCUAUAACUGUGAGGAUAGGAAGCAGAAAGGAUCCAGGCACAUACACUUCCCCUACUGUAGAAGGCUACUUUGAACGGUACUUCUCUCAAUCCAUUGUAAGUUCUGCAUGCUGAUUCAUCUGCUGUGUCUCAUCACUGCUGAAUGUGAA